This 252-nucleotide ribosomal RNA is filed under the name uncultured bacterium. RNAcentral describes it as "partial 16S ribosomal RNA". It matches the Rfam family "Bacterial small subunit ribosomal RNA", at positions 80 to 334 of the family's 1533-position model. The record is from RNAcentral.
UUUCUUUGCUGGCGACCGGCGCACGGUGAGUAGCACGUAUCCAACCUGCCCUUUACUCGGGGAUAGCCUUUCGAAAGAAAGAUUAAUACCCGAUAGUAUAAUGAUUCCGCAUGGUUUCAUUAUUAAAGGAUUCCGGUAAAGGAUGGGGAUGCGUUCCAUUAGGUUGUUGGUGAGGUAACGGCUCACCAAGCCUUCGAUGGAUAGGGGUUCUGAGAGGAAGGUCCCCCACAUUGGAACUGAGACACGGUCCAA